AGCUUUGCGCAGUGCCAGAAUCAUAGCCAAUGAGGUUUAUCCAAGGCACAAUUAUUGGUAAUUAAAAAUGCAAAUAAGGAUUCUAAUCAGACCUUGGGGUCAUUAGGACUAUAAAAGACCUUGGAAAUUGUAUUACGGCUUGCUAAGA
This is a small nuclear RNA of Cavia aperea (Brazilian guinea pig), 148 nucleotides long. Its record names the gene U4. It matches the Rfam family "U4 spliceosomal RNA". Rfam says of the family: U4 small nuclear RNA (U4 snRNA) is a component of the major U2-dependent spliceosome. The structure of U4 snRNA from yeast and human has been reported. The record is from Ensembl. Lineage: Eukaryota; Metazoa; Chordata; Mammalia; Rodentia; Caviidae.